GGCAGUUAGCCCGCCCGCUCGGCGCAGGGCGUGGCUUCUCGUAGCCAUUAGGAAACAGCAACCCUUUCACCUCAGUUUUCUUCACUCCGGCAUUUGCAGCAGAGCGAAAGGUGGUCGAGUCCUGAAGGAGGGCCUGAUGUCUUCAUCAUUCUCAAAUUCUUGUAAGCUCUGCGUCGGGUGAAACCAGACAAAGCCGCGAGCCCAGGGAUGGGAGCACGCGGGGGACGGCCUGCCGGCGGGGACGACAGCAUUGCGCCUGGGUGCAGCAGUGUGCGUCUCGGGGAAGGGAAGAUAUUUUAAGGCGUGUCUGAGCAGACGGGGAGGCUUUUCCAAACCCAGGCAGCUUCGUGGCGUGUGCGGUUUCGACCCGGUCACACAAAGCUUCAGCAUGUCAUGUGUCAUUAUGUUGUCCAGGCUGGUCUUGAACUCCUGGGCUCAAGCGAUCAUCCGGCCUCGGCCUCCUAAAGUGCUGGGACUGCAGGUCACGACAUUUAGUGAGGUAUUCACAACAUUGUCUGUGACCAAGCGCUCUGGGGCAAGCAUCCUCCAGGCUGGCUGCUGAGGUUAAGCCCCAGUGUGGAUGCUGUUGCCAAGACUGCAAACCACUGGCUCGUUUCCGUGCCCAAAUCCAAGGCGAAGUUUUCUAGAGGGUUCUUGGGCUCUUGGCACCUGCGUGUCCUGUGCUUACCACCGCCCAAGGCCCCCUUGGAUCUCUUGGAUAGGAGUUGGUGAAUAGAAGGCAGGCAGCAUCACACUGGGGUCACUGACAGACUUGAAGCUGACAUUUGGCAGGGCAUCGAAGGGAUGCAUCCAUGAAGUCACCAGUCUCAAGCCCAUGUGGUAGGCGGUGAUGGAACAACUGUCAAAUCAGUUUUAGCAUGACCUUUCCUUGUGGAUUUUCUUAUUCUCGUUGUCAAGUUUUCUAGGGUUGAAUUUUUUUCUUUUUUCUCCAUGGUGUUAAUGAUAUUAGAGAUGAAAAACGUUAGCAGUUGAUUUUUGUCCAAAAGCAAGUCAUGGCUAGAGUAUCCAUGCAAGGUGUCUUGUUGCAUGGAAGGGAUAGUUUGGCUCCCUUGGAGGCUAUGUAGGCUUGUCCCGGGAAAGAGAACUGUCCUGCAGCUGAAAUGGACUGUUCUUUACUGACCUGCUCAGCAGUUUCUUCUCUCAUAUAUUCCCAAAACAAGUACAUCUGCGAUCAACUCUAGCCAAAUUUGCCCCUGUGUGCUACAUGAUGGAUGAUUAUUAUUUUAAGGUCUGUUUAGGAAGGGAAAUGGCUACUUGGCCAGCCAUUGCCUGGCAUUUGGUAGUAUAGUAUGAUUCUCACCAUUAUUUGUCAUGGAGGCAGACAUACACCAGAAAUGGGGGAGAAACAGUACAUAUCUUUCUGUCUUUAGUUUAUUGUGUGCUGGUCUAAGCAAGCUGAGAUCAUUUGCAAUGGAAAACACGUAACUUGUUUAAAAGUUUUUCUGGUAGCUUUAGCUUUAUGCUAAAAAAAAUAAUGACAUUGGGUAUCUAUUUCUUUCUAAGACUACAUUAGUAGGAAAAUAAGUCUUUUCAUGCUUAUGAUUUAGCUGUUUUGUGGUAAUUGCUUUUUAAAGGAAGUUAUUAAUAUCAUAAGUUAUUAUUAAUAUUUUGAACACAGGUGGAUGUGAAGGAUUUUCAUUUAAAAACCAAGUGGUUUUGACUUUUUCUGUUGAAUGAACAACUGUGCCUUGUGGAAUUUUUGCAGAAGUGUUUAUGCUUUGUUAGCAUUUCAACUUGCAUUAUUAUAAAGAGGUAUUAAUGCCUCAGUUAUGUGUUUGUCAAUGUACUGGCUGAGGAUUCUAUCUCAGCUGUCUUUUCUAACUGUGUAGGUUGAGUUUUGAACACGUGCUUGUGGACAUCAGGCCUCCUGCCAGCAGUUCUUGAAGCUUCUUUUUCAUUCCUGCUACUCUACCUGUAUUUCUCAGUUGCAGCACUGAGUGGUCAAAAUACAUUUCUGGGCCACCUCAGGGAACCCAUGCAUCUGCCUGGCAUUUAGGCAGCAGAGCCCCUGACCGUCCCCCACAGGGCUCUGCCUCACGUCCUCAUCUCAUUUGGCUGUGUAAAGAAAUGGGAAAAGGGAAAAGGAGAGAGCAAUUGAGGCAGUUGACCAUAUUCAGUUUUAUUUAUUUAUUUUUAAUUUGUUUUUUUCUCCAAGUCCACCAGUCUCUGAAAUUAGAACAGUAGGCGGUAUGAGAUAAUCAGGCCUAAUCAUGUUGUGAUUCUCUUUUCUUAGUGGAGUGGAAUGUUCUAUCCCCACAAGAAGGAUUAUAUCUUAUAGACUUGUCUUGUUCAGAUUCUGUAUUUACCCAUUUUAUUGAAACAUAUACUAAGUUCCAUGUAUUUUUGUUACAAAUCUUCUGAAAAAAAACAAAACAAUGUGAAACAUUAAAAUUAAAAGGCAUUAAU
RNAcentral lists this long non-coding RNA (2427 nucleotides) under Homo sapiens (human). Its description in RNAcentral is "HSALNT0194259". The record is from RNAcentral. Lineage: Eukaryota; Metazoa; Chordata; Mammalia; Primates; Hominidae.